RNAcentral lists this ribosomal RNA (473 nucleotides) under Angiostrongylus cantonensis (rat lungworm). Its description in RNAcentral is "partial small subunit ribosomal RNA". Lineage: Eukaryota; Metazoa; Nematoda; Chromadorea; Rhabditida; Metastrongylidae. The record is from RNAcentral.
UAUGCUAAUGAAAUUUAAUCUUUAUUUUUGUUGGGGCAUGAAGUUUUUUUGUUGGUUUUAUGAAUUUUAGGUAAAAUUAAAAUUUAUAUUUAGAGGUUUUUAUGUCAUUAAGAUUUUUGAAGGCGAAUUAGAUUAGUACCUAAUUAGUGAAAAAUUAAAUGUUCAGGAGUAAAGUGGUAUUUAAACUGAAAGAAUAUUGGCAGAUUUUCUAAAUUAUCUUUGGAGGUUGAGUGAUAAUUGAGAACCCUCAUUAACUACUUGGUUUUUUGGCUUAUGUAUGAUCGUUUAUUUUAAGCUUAAGGUUUAGGAUUUUAGGUUUUGACUGUAAAAAUAGAUAUAUAUUUAGUUUAUGAUUAAGUUAAUUUGACCUACAAUAUUUUGAAUUGUGUGGAUUAUUAAAUUAGUAUUAGUAUGAAAUUGUAAAAGACAGUAAGAAAGUUUUUAUAUCUUUUUGAAGAGUAUUUAGAAAUGGC